UACGGAGGGGGCUAGCGUUGUUCGGAAUUACUGGGCGUAAAGCGCGCGUAGGCGGCUUUGUAAGUCAGAGGUGAAAUCCCGGGGCUCAACUCCGGAACUGCCUUUGAAACUGCAUCGCUUGGAUGUCGGAGAGGUGAGUGGAAUUCCGAGUGUAGAGGUGAAAUUCGUAGAUAUUCGGAAGAACACCAGUGGCGAAGGCGGCUCACUGGACGACUAUUGACGCUGAGGUGCGAAAGCGUGGGGAGCAAACAGGAUUAGAA
RNAcentral lists this ribosomal RNA (260 nucleotides) under uncultured bacterium. RNAcentral's name for it is "partial 16S ribosomal RNA". It matches the Rfam family "Bacterial small subunit ribosomal RNA", at positions 524 to 783 of the family's 1533-position model. The record is from RNAcentral.